AGAACGAACGCUGGCGGCAUGCCUAACACAUGCAAGUCGAACGCUUGUCCGGCUUCGGCCGGGCAGGAGUGGCGCACGGGUGAGUAGCGCGUGGGAACCUGCCCUGUUGUGGGGGAUAACCGAGGGAAACUUCGGCUAAUACCGCAUGCGCCCGGGGAAACCCGGGGAAAGAUUUAUCGCAGCAGGAGGGGCCCGCGUCGGAUUAGGUAGUUGGUAGGGUAACGGCCUACCAAGCCUGUGAUCCGUAGCUGGUCUGAGAGGAUGAUCAGCCACACUGGGACUGAGACACGGCCCAGACUCCUACGGGAGGCAGCAGUGGGGAAUAUUGGACAAUGGGCGCAAGCCUGAUCCAGCAAUGCCGCGUGAGUGAUGAAGGCCUUAGGGUUGUAAAGCUCUUUCGCCCGCGACGAUGAUGACGGUAGCGGGAGAGAAGCCCCGGCUAACUUCGUGCCAGCAGCCGC
This 461-nucleotide ribosomal RNA is filed under the name uncultured bacterium. RNAcentral's name for it is "SSU rRNA". It matches the Rfam family "Bacterial small subunit ribosomal RNA", at positions 26 to 518 of the family's 1533-position model. The record is from RNAcentral.